AGAGCUGUAGCUCAAUGGCAGAGUGUCUGCCUUGCAAACCGAAGGUCCCAGGUUCAGCGCCUAAUGGGAUUUCCAGGCAGGUUUG
Molecule: non-coding RNA, 85 nt
Organism: Podarcis lilfordi (Lilford's wall lizard)
Lineage: Eukaryota; Metazoa; Chordata; Lepidosauria; Squamata; Lacertidae
Source: the annotation of a GenBank genome assembly